AUAUCUCUCCGUACGGGAAGGAUGAGAAGCUUCGAUUAAGGUUCGAUUCGAGCGCAGCGAGAAAGCGUUGCCGCAGGCAACGACCCGAAGGGCGAAGCGCG
Molecule: small RNA, 101 nt
Filed under: Salmonella enterica subsp. enterica serovar Infantis
Lineage: Bacteria; Pseudomonadati; Pseudomonadota; Gammaproteobacteria; Enterobacterales; Enterobacteriaceae
Also listed under: 2 other names
Description: partial RtT sRNA
Rfam family: RtT RNA
About the family: This family represents a bacterial cis-regulatory element known as RtT RNA.
Source: RNAcentral